Molecule: non-coding RNA, 97 nt
Organism: Chloroflexi bacterium 54-19
Lineage: Bacteria; Bacillati; Chloroflexota; Chloroflexia; Candidatus Chloroheliales
Source: Rfam
GAGAGCCGAAUACCCUUAACGGGGUAAGUUCGGUUCGGGAGGGGGCUUACAGAAAAGUACCUGUGAAAACAGGCAACUCGCUGGAAGCCUACCUCAC